AGAUUGAACGCUAGCGGGAUGCUUUACGCAUGCAAGUCGAACGGCAGCGCGGACUUCGGUCUGGCGGCGAGUGGCGAACGGGUGAGUAAUAUAUCGGAACGUGCCCAGUAGCGGGGGAUAACUACGCGAAAGCGUGGCUAAUACCGCAUACGCCCGUACGGGGGAAAGGGGGGGAUCGCAAGACCUCUCACUAUUGGAGCGGCCGAUAUCAGAUUAGCUAGUUGGUGAGGUAAGGCUCACCAAGGCGACGAUCUGUAGCUGGUUUGAGAGGACGACCAGCCACACUGGGACUGAGACACGGCCCAGACUCCUACGGGAGCAG
Molecule: ribosomal RNA, 322 nt
Filed under: uncultured soil bacterium
Lineage: Bacteria
Description: bacterial SSU rRNA
Rfam family: Bacterial small subunit ribosomal RNA
Source: RNAcentral